CGGACAACCCUGAGCGGGUGAGACGUGUCCCAAAGUGUCCCCAAAAUGUCCCCAAAGUGUCCCCAAUGUGUCCCCAGUGUGUCUUCAGUGUGUCCCCAAUGUGUCCCCAAAAUGUCCCCAAAGUGUCCCCAAAAUGUCCCCAACAUGUCCCCAGAGUGUCUUCAAUGUGUCCCCAAUGUGUCCCCAAAAUGUCCCCAAAGUGUCCCCAAAGUGUCCCCAACGUGUCCCCAAUGUGUCCCCAAAAUGUCCCCAAAGUGUCCCCAAAAUGUCCCCAAUGUGUUCCUAGUGUGUCUCCAAUGUGUCCCCAAAGUGUCCCCAGUGUGUCCCCACUGUGUCCCCAUGUCCCCAUCCGUGUCCCCACGUCCCCACGUCUGUCGCUUUGUCCCGACGUCUGUCCCUUUGUCCCCAUGUCCCCAUCCCUGUCCCAAUGUCCCCAUCCCUGUCCCCACGUCUGUCCCUUUGUCCCCACGUCCCCAGCGCCGGGAGGUGGCAGCACUGAAGCA
This 503-nucleotide long non-coding RNA is filed under the name Phasianus colchicus (ring-necked pheasant). RNAcentral's name for it is "lncRNA (ENSPCLG00000017699.1)". Lineage: Eukaryota; Metazoa; Chordata; Aves; Galliformes; Phasianidae. The record is from RNAcentral.